CCCCAAACCAAGCUAAACUCACCCAUCUCACAACCGAUUUGGAAAGCUAAGCAGGAUCAGACUGGGCUGGUAGUCGGAUGGGAGACAACCAGGGAAUGCCAUGACUCUUCAGGGA
RNAcentral lists this ribosomal RNA (115 nucleotides) under Pogona vitticeps (central bearded dragon). The record is from RNAcentral. Lineage: Eukaryota; Metazoa; Chordata; Lepidosauria; Squamata; Agamidae.